UACGGAAGGGGGCUAGCGUUGUUCGGAAUUACUGGGCGUAAAGCGCACGUAGGCGGAUAUUUAAGUCAGGGGUGAAAUCCCAGAGCUCAACUCUGGAACUGCCUUUGAUACUGGGUAUCUUGAGUAUGGAAGAGGUAAGUGGAAUUGCGAGUGUAGAGGUGAAAUUCGUGAGAUAGUUGGGAAGAACACCGGUGGCGAAGGCGGCGCUCUGGACCGAGACGUGACGCUGAGGCGCGACAGCGUGGGGAGCAACAGG
This 256-nucleotide ribosomal RNA is filed under the name uncultured bacterium. RNAcentral's name for it is "partial 16S ribosomal RNA". It matches the Rfam family "Bacterial small subunit ribosomal RNA", at positions 524 to 775 of the family's 1533-position model. The record is from RNAcentral.